RNAcentral lists this long non-coding RNA (646 nucleotides) under Betta splendens (Siamese fighting fish). RNAcentral's name for it is "lncRNA (ENSBSLG00000026298.1)". The record is from RNAcentral. Lineage: Eukaryota; Metazoa; Chordata; Actinopteri; Anabantiformes; Osphronemidae.
AUGGAAACAAUGGAGAAAGAUAUUGUCGCCAAAGAUACAAAAGGCUUUGAUUCCUCAUCUCCAUCAGAGCUUGACAGGAAGUUUUUUGGGGAACAGAGUUUGCUGUCUGCUUUGUCUCUGGAACAUCUGUCUACAUGUAGAACGUCAAGUGACACAUUAGCUGAUGAAUCUAAUGACCGGGUAUCAAUUCUGGCUUCUCUCUGCUUGUCAUCGGAUGCCCUUACUUCCCCUCAAGUGUUUUCAACAAACAGCUUGAAUACUCAAGAGACAAACAAUUGUCCACUGACCAUUCCAUUACUGGGAAAGUCAUCUACUCCAUAUAUGCUUCUUCAAAAGCAAAAAAAGCCUGCUUGUUUUGACCUGUGUGUAUGCCAGAUGUCUUGGGAUGUGUCUUUAAUUAAUUCAGAAAACAGCCCCAAACCUUACACUGAGUCGAGCGCUGUGGAGUCAACACAAAGUCCAAAACCUGAGUCAAAACAUUUCUAGCUGAGGUUUGUCCCUGAUGGCACUGGAUUCGUUAAAAUGAUCCAUGUCAAGAGCCAACUGAAGACAUGUUCAAUUUAAACAAGAUUUUUUUUUUCUUUUAAUAAGAUGACAGAAAUUGACCUUAAAUAAACGUAUCUGCCUUUUAUUUGUUUGUAUCUUG